This 68-nucleotide transfer RNA is filed under the name Marmota monax (woodchuck). RNAcentral describes it as "tRNA.Ala". Lineage: Eukaryota; Metazoa; Chordata; Mammalia; Rodentia; Sciuridae. The record is from RNAcentral.
GGUCUGUGGCUCAGCGGUAGUGCACUUGCCUGGCAUGUAUGAAGCACUGGGUUUGAUUCUCAGCACCA